AAGGAUCAUUAAUGAAUUCACUUUGGAGUUGUUGCUGGCCUCUAGGGGCAUGUGCACGCUUCACUAGUCUUUCAACCACCUGUGAACUUUUGAUAGAUCUGUGAAGUCGUCUCUCAAGUCGUUAGACUUGGUUUGCUGGGAUGUAAACGUCUCGGUGUGACUACGCAGUCUAUUUACUUAUAACACCCCGAAUGUAUGUCUACGAAUGUCAUUUAAAGGGCCUUGUGCCUAUAAAUCAUAAUACAACUUUCAACAACGGAUCUCUUGGCUCUCGCAUCGAUGAAGAACGCAGCGAAAUGCGAUAAGUAAUGUGAAUUGCAGAAUUCAGUGAAUCAUCGAAUCUUUGAACGCACCUUGCGCCCCUUGGUAUUCCGAGGGGCAUGCCUGUUUGAGUGUCAUUAAAUUCUCAAACUCACUCUGGUUUUUUCCAAUUGUGAUGUUUGGAUUGUUGGGGGCUGCUGGCCUUGACAGGUCGGCUCCUCUUAAAUGCAUUAGCAGGACUUCUCAUUGCCUCUGCGCAUGAUGUGACAAUUAUCACUCAUCAAUAGCACGCAUGAAUAGAGUCUGGCUCUCUAACCGUCCGCAAGGACAAUUUGACAAUUUGACCUCAGAUCAGGUAGGACUACCCGCUGAACUUAA
Molecule: ribosomal RNA, 639 nt
Filed under: Pleurotus eryngii
Lineage: Eukaryota; Fungi; Basidiomycota; Agaricomycetes; Agaricales; Pleurotaceae
Description: eukaryotic LSU rRNA
Rfam family: 5.8S ribosomal RNA (bases 245-398)
Source: RNAcentral